UGGGGAAUAUUGCACAAUGGGCGCAAGCCUGAUGCAGCCAUGCCGCGUGUGUGAAGAAGGCCUUCGGGUUGUAAAGCACUUUCAGCGAGGAGGAAGGUGGUGAACUUAAUACGUUCAUCAAUUGACGUUACUCGCAGAAGAAGCACCGGCUAACUCCGUGCCAGCAGCCGCGGUAAUACGGAGGGUGCAAGCGUUAAUCGGAAUUACUGGGCGUAAAGCGCACGCAGGCGGUUUGUUAAGUCAGAUGUGAAAUCCCCGGGCUCAACCUGGGAACUGCAUUUGAAACUGGCAAGCUAGAGUCUCGUAGAGGGGGGUAGAAUUCCAGGUGUAGCGGUGAAAUGCGUAGAGAUCUGGAGGAAUACCGGUGGCGAAGGCGGCCCCCCUGGACGAAGACUGACGCUCAGGUGCGAAAAGCGUGGGGAGCAAAACAGGAUUAGAUACCCUGGUAGUCCACGCUGUAAAACGAUGUCGAUUUGGAGGUUGUGCCCUUGAGGCGUGGCUUCCGGAGCUAACGCGUUAAAAUCGACCGCCUGGGGAGUACGGCCGCAAGGUUAAAAACUUAAAAUG
Molecule: ribosomal RNA, 567 nt
Filed under: uncultured bacterium
Lineage: Bacteria
Description: partial 16S ribosomal RNA
Rfam family: Bacterial small subunit ribosomal RNA
Source: RNAcentral